CGAGUCAUUGUAGCAAUACAAGGCAUACGGCUCAGUAACGCGUAGUCCACCUAACCUAUGGACGGGAAUAACCUCGGGAAACUGAGAAUAAUGCCCGAUAGAACAUUAUGCCUGGAAUGGUUUAUGUUCCAAAUGAUUUAUCGCCGUAGGAUGGGACUGCGGCCUAUCAGUUUGUUGGUGAGGUAAUGGCCCACCAAGACUAUUACAGGUACGGGCUCUGAGAGGAGUAGCCCGGAGAUGGGUACUGAGACACGGACCCAGGCCCUAUGGGGCGCAGCAGGCGAGAAAACUUUGCAAUGUGCGAAAGCACGACAAGGUUAAUCCGAGUGGUUUCUGCUAAAGAAACCUUUUGUCAGUCCUAGAAACACUGAUGAAUAAGGGGUGGGCAAGUUCUGGUGUCAGCCGCCGCGGUAAAACCAGCACCUCAAGUGGUCAGGAUGAUUAUUGGGCCUAAAGCAUCCGUAGCCGGCUCUGUAAGUUUUCGGUUAAAUCUGUACGCUCAACGUACAGGCUGCCGGGAAUACUGCAGAGCUAGGGAGUGGGAGAGGUAGACGGUACUCGGUAGGAAGGGGUAAAAUCCUUUGAUCUAUUGAUGACCACCUGUGGCGAAGGCGGUCUACCAGAACACGUCCGACGGUGAGGGAUGAAAGC
Molecule: ribosomal RNA, 651 nt
Filed under: uncultured crenarchaeote
Lineage: Archaea; Thermoproteati; Thermoproteota
Description: bacterial SSU rRNA
Rfam family: Archaeal small subunit ribosomal RNA
Source: RNAcentral